This 1468-nucleotide ribosomal RNA is filed under the name uncultured organism. RNAcentral's name for it is "SSU rRNA". It matches the Rfam family "Bacterial small subunit ribosomal RNA". The record is from RNAcentral.
ACGCUGGCGGCGUGCCUAAUACAUGCAAGUCGAGCGGACCAAAUCGGAGCUUGCUCUGAUUUGGUCAGCGGCGGACGGGUGAGUAACACGUGGGCAACCUGCCCGCAAGACCGGGAUAACUCCGGGAAACCGGAGCUAAUACCGGAUAACACCGAAGACCGCAUGGUCUUUGGUUGAAAGGCGGCCUUUGGCUGUCACUUGCGGGUGGGCCCGCGGCGCAUUAGCUAGUUGGUGAGGUAACGGCUCACCAAGGCGACGAUGCGUAGCCGGCCUGAGAGGGUGACCGGCCACACUGGGACUGAGACACGGCCCAGACUCCUACGGGAGGCAGCAGUAGGGAAUCUUCCGCAAUGGGCGAAAGCCUGACGGAGCGACGCCGCGUGAGCGAAGAAGGCCUUCGGGUCGUAAAGCUCUGUUGUGAGGGACGAAGGAGCGCCGUUCGAAGAGGGCGGCGCGGUGACGGUACCUCACGAGGAAGCCCCGGCUAACUACGUGCCAGCAGCCGCGGUAAUACGUAGGGGGCGAGCGUUGUCCGGAAUUAUUGGGCGUAAAGCGCGCGCAAGCGGUUCCUUAAGUCUGAUGUGAAAGCCCACGGCUCAACCGUGGAGGGUCAUUGGAAACUGGGGGACUUGAGUGCAGGAGAGGAGAGCGGAAUUCCACGUGUAGCGGUGAAAUGCGUAGAGAUGUGGAGGAACACCAGUGGCGAAGGCGGCUCUCUGGCCUGCAACUGACGCUGAGGCGCGAAAGCGUGGGGAGCAAACGGGAUUAGAUACCCUGGUAGUCCACGCCGUAAACGAUGAGUGCUAAGUGUUAGAGGGGUCACACCCUUUAGUGCUGCAGCUAACGCGAUAAGCACUCCGCCUGGGGAGUACGGCCGCAAGGCUGAAACUCAAAGGAAUUGACGGGGGCCCGCACAAGCGGUGGGGCAUGUGGUUUAAUUCGAAGCAACGCGAAGAACCUUACCAGGUCUUGACAUCCCCUGACAACCCAAGAGAUUGGGCGUUCCCCCUUCGGGGGGACAGGGUGACAGGUGGUGCAUGGUUGUCGUCAGCUCGUGUCGUGAGAUGUUGGGUUAAGUCCCGCAACGAGCGCAACCCUCGCCUCUAGUUGCCAGCACGAAGGUGGGCGCUCUAGAGGGACUGCCGGCGACAAGUCGGAGGAAGGUGGGGAUGACGUCAAAUCAUCAUGCCCCUUAUGACCUGGGCUACACACGUGCUACAAUGGGCGGUACAAAGGGUUGCGAACCCGCGAGGGGGAGCGAAUCCCAAAAAGCCGCUCUCAGUUCGGAUUGCAGGCUGCAACUCGCCUGCAUGAAGCCGGAAUCGCUAGUAAUCGCGGAUCAGCAUGCCGCGGUGAAUACGUUCCCGGGCCUUGUACACACCGCCCGUCACACCACGAGAGCUUGCAACACCCGAAGUCGGUGAGGUAACCCUUACGAGAGCCAGCCGCCGAAGGUGGGGCAAGUGAU